This 760-nucleotide ribosomal RNA is filed under the name Streptomyces sp. RNAcentral's name for it is "bacterial SSU rRNA". It matches the Rfam family "Bacterial small subunit ribosomal RNA", at positions 72 to 845 of the family's 1533-position model. Lineage: Bacteria; Bacillati; Actinomycetota; Actinomycetes; Kitasatosporales; Streptomycetaceae. The record is from RNAcentral.
AACCGCUUUCGGGCGGGGAUUAGUGGCGAACGGGUGAGUAACACGUGGGCAAUCUGCCCUGCACUCUGGGACAAGCCCUGGAAACGGGGUCUAAUACCGGAUAUGACUGUCCAUCGCAUGGUGGAUGGUGUAAAGCUCCGGCGGUGCAGGAUGAGCCCGCGGCCUAUCAGCUUGUUGGUGAGGUAGUGGCUCACCAAGGCGACGACGGGUAGCCGGCCUGAGAGGGCGACCGGCCACACUGGGACUGAGACACGGCCCAGACUCCUACGGGAGGCAGCAGUGGGGAAUAUUGCACAAUGGGCGAAAGCCUGAUGCAGCGACGCCGCGUGAGGGAUGACGGCCUUCGGGUUGUAAACCUCUUUCAGCAGGGAAGAAGCGAAAGUGACGGUACCUGCAGAAGAAGCGCCGGCUAACUACGUGCCAGCAGCCGCGGUAAUACGUAGGGCGCAAGCGUUGUCCGGAAUUAUUGGGCGUAAAGAGCUCGUAGGCGGCUUGUCACGUCGGUUGUGAAAGCCCGGGGCUUAACCCCGGGUCUGCAGUCGAUACGGGCAGGCUAGAGUUCGGUAGGGGAGAUCGGAAUUCCUGGUGUAGCGGUGAAAUGCGCAGAUAUCAGGAGGAACACCGGUGGCGAAGGCGGAUCUCUGGGCCGAUACUGACGCUGAGGAGCGAAAGCGUGGGGAGCGAACAGGAUUAGAUACCCUGGUAGUCCACGCCGUAAACGGUGGGCACUAGGUGUGGGCAACAUUCCACGUUGUCCGUG